This 299-nucleotide long non-coding RNA is filed under the name Homo sapiens (human). Its description in RNAcentral is "non-protein coding lnc-ZNF608-16:1". The record is from RNAcentral. Lineage: Eukaryota; Metazoa; Chordata; Mammalia; Primates; Hominidae.
AAAUCACUCUUUUCUGACUCUCAGGCCAUGCAGAUGCAUCACAUGCUUCACUGUUGAGCAUGAGUCUUAAGGCAAUUAAUCAUCGUGUUCUAUUAUUUACUCAAUGAGAGUCAUUCUGUCACAUACAGCUGAGCAAGUUCUGUUUUACAUUCUAACGCAAUUUCAGGCUCCUUAGGGAGAGUGUCCUUGCCUUAUACCACCUCAUCAAGCACCUGACUGCUCCAUGGAAGAUACUCAAUAUAUGCAUAAAUUAUCUUACAGGGAAAUCUGACACACUGAUCCUUUCACUGUCUCCAUAG